AUACUGAGGGUGCAAGCGUUAAUCGGAAUUACUGGGCGUAAAGCGCACGUAGGCGGUUUAUUAAGUCAGAUGUGAAAGCCCUGGGCUUAACCUGGGAACUGCAUUUGAGACUGGUAGGCUAGAGUAUGGUAGAGGAUAGUGGAAUUCCGGGUGUAGCGGUGAAAUGCGUAGAUAUCCGGAGGAACAUCAGUGGCGAAGGCGGCUAUCUGGACCAAUACUGACGCUGAGGUGCGAAAGCGUGGGGAGCAAACAGGAGUAGAAACCCUAGUAGUCC
RNAcentral lists this ribosomal RNA (274 nucleotides) under uncultured bacterium. RNAcentral's name for it is "partial 16S ribosomal RNA". It matches the Rfam family "Bacterial small subunit ribosomal RNA", at positions 523 to 796 of the family's 1533-position model. The record is from RNAcentral.